This 552-nucleotide ribosomal RNA is filed under the name uncultured bacterium. Its description in RNAcentral is "bacterial SSU rRNA". It matches the Rfam family "Bacterial small subunit ribosomal RNA", at positions 79 to 627 of the family's 1533-position model. The record is from RNAcentral.
CUUGCUUCUCUUGAGAGCGGCGGACGGGUGAGUAAUGCCUAGGAAUCUGCCUGGUAGUGGGGGAUAACGUUCGGAAACGGACGCUAAUACCGCAUACGUCCUACGGGAGAAAGCAGGGGACCUUCGGGCCUUGCGCUAUCAGAUGAGCCUAGGUCGGAUUAGCUAGUUGGUGGGGUAAUGGCUCACCAAGGCGACGAUCCGUAACUGGUCUGAGAGGGUGAUCAGUCACACUGGAACUGAGACACGGUCCAGACUCCUACGGGAGGCAGCAGUGGGGAAUAUUGGACAAUGGGCGAAAGCCUGAUCCAGCCAUGCCGCGUGUGUGAAGAAGGUCUUCGGAUUGUAAAGCACUUUAAGUUGGGAGGAAGGGUUGUAGAUUAAUACUCUGCAAUUUUGACGUUACCGACAGAAUAAGCACCGGCUAACUCUGUGCCAGCAGCCGCGGUAAUACAGAGGGUGCAAGCGUUAAUCGGAAUUACUGGGCGUAAAGCGCGCGUAGGUGGUUUGUUAAGUUGGAUGUGAAAUCCCCGGGCUCAACCUGGGAACUGCAUU